CCGGCGCGCGCGGGCCGGUGGCGGCUGUGGCGGGCCCGCGCGGCGCCUCGGGCCUCGGCGCUGGGGCGGCGGCCGGGCCGGGCCGGGCCGGGCCGGGCCGGGGGAGCGGGCGGUACCCGGGACAGCGGCCCGCGGGCGAGGGGGCUGCCCCUGCCCUCUCCUGGAAGCCCGAAAAGCGCAGCGGUGUCGGCAGCGCGGAAGGAAGCACGAGCGCAGAGGAUGAGAAGUCAAACGACAAGACAGGCCCACAAAGAACUUUGCUUAAGGCAGACAAGCAAUUGCCAAAACCAACCUCUGGGAGCUCUCUGAGAAGGAAUGAUCAAACGUUGCUGUGUGAUUGCAUCCACUACUGCCAGAAUCUGCAGGUUUCCUAUAUAUUUUGGUCUGCAUUUAUGAUUGGAGGAGUGUUUCAUGCUCUCAGUGUGGGAUAGAAAAGACCAGGUGACACACGUGCUCUAUCUUCAACCCUUGAAAUACAGAUAGGCAAAUAAAUACAGGUAUGUGGGUACA
This 510-nucleotide long non-coding RNA is filed under the name Dromaius novaehollandiae (emu). RNAcentral's name for it is "lncRNA (ENSDNVG00000013425.1)". The record is from RNAcentral. Lineage: Eukaryota; Metazoa; Chordata; Aves; Casuariiformes; Dromaiidae.